AAAACAAGAAUAAACCGAAGAUGAUUUGAAACGGGAUUGCUGCGAAAGAAAUAAGAAGAAUUUGAUUGAAAGUAAACCCUAAAUUUGAGAUACGAAGACGAUGAAGAUUGUUGUUGAUGUCUGUAAAGAGAGAGUCUGAGUUAGAGUGGUUUAUAUAGAAAGAAUGUGGCGUUGUGAAGCUUAAUGCAGUUUUUCAAUGUUUCCUUUUCCAAAACUGGAUUAUUGGAUUUUACUGUUUUGCCAUCGAUAAAUUUCCUUUUUUUUUUUUCUAAUUUGAUCAUUUAAUGAUGAUCCUUUUUGGUUAUUUCCUUUUUUAGUUAAAAUCUGAGCGUUAGAAAAAACAAGGAGAAGAUGAGAGAGGGCUCCCGCAAAUAUUCGUUACUUGCCAUAUACCCGCUACUUGAUCUGUAUUCGCCUCGUUUUUUCAAGUACUCGUUGUUGCCAAGUCAAGUAUCAAGUCGUUGAGUUUUGCAAGUACAAGGCAAGUAAUAAGUAUCACAAAAAAAGUUAUAACUCGCCUUGAUAUUACUUGUUACUUGUUUUACAACUGAAAAAUUGAUAACUUAACCAUAAAAAC
RNAcentral lists this long non-coding RNA (577 nucleotides) under Brassica rapa (field mustard). RNAcentral's name for it is "long non-coding RNA (BRAP_LNC004910)". Lineage: Eukaryota; Viridiplantae; Streptophyta; Magnoliopsida; Brassicales; Brassicaceae. The record is from RNAcentral.